UGCUUUCAUUUUUUUUUAUCUUGAGUUUUUUCCGUUUACGUUUUUAUUUUUGAGUUGCAACGUGUAAUGGGUCUAGCAGACCCAAUUAGCCUAGAUAUACUUCUUUGGAUUUACAGUUUUACACUAAGCGUGUCAAUAAGGAAUAGUAAAAGCCAAUGAGCCUGGCUCUAAUGGCAUUUCUCUCCCCUCCCACCUCAAGGUCUAGGGUUCAAACCCUAAAGAAUGCAAUUGAGAAAAAAUGUGAUAAAAUAUGUGAAGAGUGUGUGGGUGUGUUGUGUACCUAGGAUUGGGGGUUGUCCAAUCCAUUGGAGUACCUAGGAUUGGAGGUUGUCCAAUCCACCGACCAAAAAAAAAAAUAGUAAAAAAUUUAAAAGAGUUUAUUA
This is a non-coding RNA of Arachis ipaensis, 383 nucleotides long. NCBI's taxonomy places the organism in Eukaryota, Viridiplantae, Streptophyta, Magnoliopsida, Fabales, Fabaceae. The record is from RefSeq and is a predicted model, not a curated record.